This is a long non-coding RNA of Marmota monax (woodchuck), 10132 nucleotides long. RefSeq lists it as uncharacterized. The transcript is spliced from 8 exons. The record is from RefSeq and is a predicted model, not a curated record. Lineage: Eukaryota; Metazoa; Chordata; Mammalia; Rodentia; Sciuridae.
GGAGAGAGGAGAGGGUGUGUUCAUGGAAUGUAAUCUGAACUGCAUCUAAACUUUGAGACCUAGUCAACACAGCACUUGCUGGUGGUUAGAUGAACCCGGGGUCAAGUACAUUUACAGCUCUGUGACCUUAGGCAAGUGAUUUCACUGCUUCUCAGUCCCUGUAGGUAUAAACCAGGAGCACUAAUAUUACCCACCUCACUGGGCUGCUGUGAGAAUUGAAGGCAGUGUGCAUAAGACCCUUUCUCCCCUGGGGUCUAGGCAGCUCCUCUGCCAGGUUCUUGGUGGAGCGCUUGCUCUGUGGGAUUUAAAGUGAGUGAGGACUCCCGUUUUCAGUGUGGUCUCUACACAGUUGUAGAUGCAGUAACAGUUCGAUUGUGCUAAUUUACACAGAAGCCCAAGGGAAGCUGAAUAUGGGAGUGCUCAAGCAUCCCACAGGAGCAAUCUCCUCGCCCAAAUCACAGGGACCAUUUGUGUGUGUGUGUGUGUGUGUGUGUGUGUAGCUUUCCAGUUAUGUGCUUUCGUAUCUGUCACAUUGUCGCCAGAAUCAGCUGCGGUCAAGAUUUCUACAUCCCAUCAACUCACAGAGGUUUGUGGAACGGGGAUGGGACAGAGGUUGGCCACUUUCAGAAGUGAGUGCUUCCUUUGGGCGAUGGGAAGGAGGCAAUGACGAGUGCCACCCACCCACUUCACAUCUCUUUGGCAGUUCGGUCUUAAUCUAGAAGCAAUAGUGGCGCCACCUCUCUCAAGUCGCUUCUCUCUGUGUCAAGUUUUCGGUGUUGUAUUGGAGGGAGUGCCAGCACCACCACCUCCCCCCCCCCCCCCGCUCCCUGCACCCCGUUUCCCACACACUGUUCGGUGUUCUCUCAAGAAAGCACUGAGAACGGGAGUCCGGAGCUUGCAAAUGGCAAGAACCUGCACAGGUCAAUUGUCGCGUAGUUCUGGAGGUCAGGAAGCCCAAGAUCCUGCAACCCACUGGCCAUAGUCCAGCCCAUGGAGGCAAUGGAAGGGGUGGUCAUUGUGGAACCAGAUGAGUGCCAUAUCUGAUUCUGGUGGCCCAAUAACCUACUGUGUGACUUGGCCCCAGCCUCCGUAUCCUCAUCUGGAAACCAAAAUCAGGCAACUUGUUCCGUGGUCACAGCAGGGAGGAACGUCACCUCCCCAGUUGAAGGUUGGAUGUUUGUGAAAUGAAGCCGAGACCCCGUGUGUCCCUAGGGAAGGUGACGCCCCCGCUCUCCCGGGCUUGUGCGGACGUGUCUCGGGCGUGACCUCUGAGCAGCUGCGCCACCCGCUCAGCCUCGAGGUGGAGAAACCCGAGCUCCAGGCAAAACCCCCAUCUUUGGCAAAGGAAGGAGCCCUGGGAAGUUUGAAUGUCAUACAUGGUAAGUCAGGUGCUCUGCUUUGGUUAGAAAGAGCUGGAAAUUGUCUCUGUUUGGGACAGAUCAGCAGUUUGUUAAUUCUCCUCUUGCUGUUCUCAGAAAGGGCCAUGGAGGAACUUGACCUACUGAAGGUGACAGGAGAUAAAGACUCUAGUUAGCCACCCACUGGGAACUUAUCUGAAAAGAGGAGAGAGGGGUGGGAGAGGGAGCUGCCACCUGACUGCCCAGCCAUGCUUCACCUGCCAGUUCAGUCAGGGGCUGUGUCUAACUUUUGUGGCCCUGGGAAAAUGUUGGGAACCUGGAGGGCCCCAUGCUGACACUCUGAAGUCUGGCAGUGCACUUACUGAUGGACAAAGUUGAUCGAGAUGACCAGGAGUUAGGAGUUGUGUUCCCUCAGUGGUAUGGAGGUGUGCGGCAUGGACUGAGUCAGUAGAGGGUGCUUUUGGGGAGAAGACAGUGGAGACCACGUUUCUGGGAUGGUUUGUAGGCUAGAUGGGCCUCCUUUCCCAUAUACACACCAAGGCAAGUUCCAUCCCUCUGUCUGAAUGUCUCUCUUGGUUAAUUCUUACUUUUGGAUUCUACUACCUACCUCUCUGCUUCACAGUUCCCAAGACACCAUUCAUUGCAGCUUUUAUACCCAGCACACCUAUAUCAAGUCAGGCAGUAAGAGACUCUCCCCAUCCCUCUUGCACACAGUGCACAGCUGAAUGUGGAAAGUGAAUCCCACUCUCCUUCAGAGAGCGGGGUCAGAGUACAGGGCAGUCCUGGGGCUAUACCUGGGUCAUCCUGACUGUUCCUGGGUGUACCCAGGUGAACCCUCAGAAUACAGUAUUUCUUCAGAAUUUCUUCAGGUGGGUAAACUGAUGUGAUAGGACCCUUUGCAGGUUAAUAAGUGUAAAAUGUCUGGCUCCCGGUAAGUGCUCAAUGUAUAUUGGCUUCUGCUUUUACUGCCAUUAUGAUGCUACCCCUCUAGGCAGGUAACUCUGCCUUCCUGAAUCUCAUUGUCCUCAUGUGCAAGGUUGAGGCAAUACUAUCUGUUUUAUAGGAUUGUUGUGAGGACUAAAUAGUGUUAAUUACUACUGUCAAGUUUGCAAUAAAUCACAGUGCUUCAUGGGUUGCUUUAGCCUAGUUUAUCUCCCAGGGGAUGACUUUAUUUCCAAACAGAAGACAGCUUCUUAGAAGAGCUUCAAAAUAUUGACCCUGGCUGGUGAGGGCAUUUGGACACUUAACUCAUCCAGCAUCCCUUUCCCAGCUGUGAACUUGUAUGAUAAUAACCACCUCUAGGAAUCUCCAAGAUGUUAUGAGGAGAAAAUAUGUGAUAAUAUACACAGCACUUUGAGCCCCUCUGAACAGAGACGCCCGUAAAUAGAAGGUGGUAUUAUAAGGUGGAGUAAUGGCUGGUGACUCCCCCUCCCUUUUUUAUUUAAUUAGGAGAAAACUAGUAAUUAGGAAGCAUGGCCUUGUGAAAGCUGUGGCCUGGGAAAUAGUUCUCUUGGCACCUAAUCAGAACUGUGACAUGGCACAAGUUUCUGCCAAAUGUGGCAGCAGGAGACCUCGCCCCGGGCUCAGAAACAGGUCUGGAGAUCAUGAGGAAUUCACUGUCUGGAGUGCAAGGCCCCGAGGUGGCUGACGCAGAGCCAGCUGGGGAGCCUCCUUGGUCUCCUGCUCCAGAGGAGAUCCCCACCCACAGGCCUCAGUGGCCUUCAUCCCUGGGGACUCAGAGUCCAUCUUAUCUGCAGGUUACAGCUUGCUGCAACCCCAGAAACAAGCUGUCCCACCAUGGGGCUCGUAAAAGAUGUCUGAUCUGGUUUGGUCUCUGAUUCCCUUGCUGGGACAAAGAGUUCUCUUUAAGAAGGGCCAGUGUGGAGGAGGCCUUUGAGCCCUAGCUAGCCCGUGUGCCUCUACUCUGCAGCAGCCUCAGCUGGAGCGACUUUCCCUCCUCCCUGCAAAUCCCCUAGGUGCUGCUGCAAGGUGGCCUUGGCCGGGAGGCCUCCCAGUCUUUCCAGUUCCAUUGCACUCAGGCCUUCUCAGCUCUGUUUGGUACAGUGUGGACUUUUGCUUUUUGUCCUUCAACUCUCCCACCUCUGCCUCCAUGAUGCUGGAUGGGGUGGUGAUGGAAAGUAAGUUGGGGAAGCAAAGUGUUCCCAGCCCAAGCUCCAGCACAGUGAUGUCACAGGGAACAUCAGCAGCAGGAUUGCUGGUGGGCUCUGACUUCCCCUCACCACAAUGACGAUACAGGCUAGAGGCUUUCUCAUAAACCCCGAAGAUAGCAGUUCCUUUUUUUCAGUUAUGAAUUAUAUUUUAAAGGUGCAGAAAAUAUAAGACACAUAUCACUCUGAUUACCAGUUGUUGACAUUUCUCAUCUUUGCUGUGGAUGUCUUCCUAUGUAUUUUUAAAAGUUUUCAAUACAGCUAAGUUUUCCACCUCUCCAGACCCUCCCUGUGGGUCCCCACUGGCCUGUCAUUUACCUGCACCUGUGGAUGGUACUCAGGGGACUGGAAGGCUGUUGAUUUUGUGCACAUCUUCCUCACCCACACAAGUCCUCUCAGGAAUGCCUCUCCACUCAGUCUCUUGUGGUGUCUGUGGCCGCCAUUAACUUGCACUUGGACCAUUUGCUCCUAUGGACAUUUUAAAGUCUUGGUCAGAUCAUAUGGCCCUUUGCUCCAAGCCUACACAUGGCUUCUGUUUCAACUCAGAGUAAAAUUCAAGCCCUGAGGACCAAUAGGACCCUAUGUGAUAGUAGCCUACUCUUUGCCUCUCUGACCCCAUCUCCCAGGAUAUAGCCUUCUUCCCCCCCUCCCUCAGGGGCAGCCACACUGCUCUUCUCAUUUUUCCUGGGACUUACUGUGGGCAAGGCUUCAGGCUGUUCCCCUGACUGUCACCCUCUUUCCCCAGAUACCUACAGGGCAAAACUCCAUAUUCUUCCAUUCAUUGCUCACAUUUCACUUCUCCCUGAACUCUAGGCAUAAGGCACUUAUAAAUAUAUCCCUCAUUCCCACCAUUCUCUCCCUUGUCUGGUCUAAUAUUUAUUUUUCCAUAGCAGGUAUUUUCUAGCAAAUUGUAUACUUUACUUAUUUAUUAUUUGUUGCCUAUUUCUGCCUACUACAAUGUAAGUUCCCCUAGAGUAGGAAUUUCUGUUGUUGAGGCACUAGUACUUCCUUCAUUUCUACAGUAGUGCCAGGCACACGGGGGCUCUACAAAGAUUUACUGACUGAUUCAAUAAGCCUAUGGAUAAAUGCAUCUGAGAAUUUCUUUCUGGAGACGUUCCAGAAUUCGUACAGAUUUUCCAGGGUGUCUAUGACACAAAAAAGGGUAGGAACCACUGACAUGAUCACCCAUCAAAGUUUGCUGACCUCCUCUGCUUCUCGGGAGUCUGCCUGAUGAAGAUUAUGAGCUUUUUAUCUUUCUCCAGUUUGUGUCUCCCUGGAGAGCUAAUCCUGGCAGCUACUGAGCCCUUCUCUCUGAGGACUGGUGGCUCCACACUAGGCAAGGAGCAAGACCAGGAAAUCUUGCAGGAGCCCCAGCCCAGGAAGAACAGACGCUAGCUUGUGAUGGGAGAGAGCGAACACAGAUGAGUGGGGGGAACCUGGAAAGCAAAGAGACACAAAAGGCCAUCUGGAGGUGAUAGUGGGAGUGAAUUGGAGCCAUUUCAGGGACCCAACGCAAAAUGGAUAAUAAAACUUUAAGGAAAUCGUUCAUUGAGUUGCAAGAUGUGAAGAGAGUGCUAUAUAAAAUGGACAGAGUCCUGGGCUCCAGACCUGAUUUCUCUGUGUCUAAGCAUUUCUGUGAGUCACAGUAUGGCGGCUGAACUGGAGAUUGGAAAGCAGAACUGGCCCAGAGUCCAGGUGACAAGGAUGAAGCAUGGAAGGCUGAGGAGCCCGACAUAGGGUCUGUAACGUAGUAAAUGACAACAGCAAACAGAAACGAAGGACAGGAGCAACAUGAGGAAGGCAUGUGAUUGAAUUGAUACAUUUACUCCGUGAACCAUUCCGAGGACAUCUGCGGGAUGUGGCCAUCCUCCUCUUCUCUGUGGCUGGACAGGGCCGUCUGCCCUGAGGCCACAGAGUUGCCUGGUCUUGGGAGAUGCUCUCUCAGCUGCGAGUCUCCUGUGCCAGGAGCACUACCAGGCACCGUUUCUCAGGUCUCCUGAUCUCUGCUUGGUUUGCAUGUUGCUCAAAUCGGAUCCACCCUUCCAGGCUGGCCUCUUGCCUUUUUCUUAGGUCCAAGGGACCAAUGUCUGCAUACAGGUGAGGCACUUCGCUGAGUUGCUUUCAUCAUGACUGCCAGUGCUGUGUGCAGGGCUGCGAGCAAGCCACCACGCCACGCCAUGCAGCAGCACUGGCAAGAGAGUUGCAAGCACUAUAGCAAGAGCUAGGGUGGUGACUGUGAGCUCCGUGGAAAAGGUAUCUUCAGUUGGACCUGGUGUGGACUUGGUUUGGUUUCCAAUGGCUCUAGUAAUCCCUGAGCCUAGUCUUCCAGCCAUAUCAAGCAGUGCACCCGACAUGUGAGCCAGGGCAUCUCAGACCCUGUGGACCAGCCACAUUCCAGCUGAGUACCUCUGACUAACCUCAGUUGGUACCAGAAUCUCUCAGCAAGCCCAGUCUGAACCCUGACCCAGAGAACCAUGAGCCCUAACAAAAUGGUAGUGGUUUUAAACCACAAAACAUGGGGGUAGUUUGUUAUGCAGCAAUAGAUAACUAAAACACUAGACAUAAACGGAAGAAACUUUGCUGUCGGCUUUUGAUAAAUUUAGGACGAUUGUGUGUGAUUUACCCCAACCAUCUGUUUCUGUCCAUGAUAAUUUCAUUCUGCUCAAAAUUUGGAUCAAGUUACCUUUUAACGGAGCUAAACCUUCACUUGGGUUCACUGACAGCUUCCUGAGCCUCAGCAAAGCUUUCAGGCUUCCCAGCUGUGGCCAAGCUGGCAGUAGAGUCCCGCCUCCAGCUGCAGGCACACUCAAGCUUGCCCCAGCACCACAGCUGCAUGCAGCUACCUUCCACUGUGAUUUUGCAAAAAUUGCCACAAGUUGCAACUGUGGCUGCAGAAGUUAUUUUGCAUGGGCCUGGAUAAACAAUGUACAGAUGACAUUUUCUCAGGAGCCCCACAUACCACAAAGGGCAUCUUCGUAUUUGUUGUCUUGCCUUCCUCAGAGGCAGAGUGCAUUAUUUCUACAUGGCUGUGUCCACCAUCUACAGGGAGAUCUGGAACUAAGUCAUUUUAAAAUGAAUAGGAAGUCAAUGAGAAUUGAAUAAGACCAAGCCAUUGUACUGUUUUGUUUUAGCUCUGGCUUAGGCGAAGUCCCCAGUUCCUGAAUAGUAUAGGAAGGAGAGUAGGAGUGGGUAGUGCCCUCAGGAUCAAGUAAGUACCAGAAACGUGAGUGUCAUUCUUUCAGUAUGCCAACAUGACUGGCAUGGCUUCAUAGUCAGAGGGAUGUGGGUUCAGACCUGAGCUUACUAUGUACAUAUAAGAUAUGUAUUCUGAGCUUUAGUUUCUCAUUAGUCAAAUGGGUAAACCUUCCCUCAGUCAACCUCACAGGCAAUAUGAGGAUGUCUUAUUUGGGGCUUGAUAGAAGCAGACGCUGAGACAAGGCUAAGUGCAGGUGGUUUAUCAGGAAGAGGAGGGAUCAAAGGUGGCAGAGUGGGCACUGACAAGGAAAGGAUGACAACCAGCAAGAAGUUCAUUAUCAAGCCAGUUACCACGGUGGAAAUUGCAGCUUCAUCCCAAGGAAGAAUCUCCGCAAAGGUGUAGACUUGAUGAUUACUAUUCCCAUUUUACAGAUGAGGAAAUGGAAGUACAGUGAGAUAUUAGACAUCUUUUUCCAAGGUCGCAGUGCUAUCAAGUGGCAGAAUCAGAAUUUAAUCCAGGUUGCUGCCAUAAUAAUGAAAACACACACACAUGUAUUUCUCUAAAUUCACUGUAGAGCAUGGUGUCCAUGUCAUAAAUUAUUUUUUUCCCUUUCUGUACCAGCAUUCAACAAAGCAAAUAUUUGUAUAUGGCCAUUUGGAAAUUGGUAUUGAUAAAUAUACUAUUAUCAGCUUUAAAAACUUUAAUUAUAUAAUCCAUUUAUAUCAAAUUUUUAGCACAUCCAAGAGAUUGAUAGUAUACUGGUAGCUCUGGAGGGUAAUUGGGGAAUGGGUUUCACUGCUAAGGGCUACAGAGCUUCCUUUUUGCAGUGAGAAAAAAUAUUCUAAAAUAUGGAUGGUGAUGUUGCAGGACUUUGAAAAUACAAAAAAAAUGUUGAAUUAUACAUUUGAAAAGUAUGUGAUGCUUUUUUUGAUAUGUGAAUUUUAUCUCAAUAAAUCUGUUUUUAGGAAGAGAAAAUUAUAAGUAUUAAACUUUGUUCUAAGCAUUUCUUAAUAUAGUUCUUUCUAAAGGCAAAAUUCUGAAUGGAAAAAAAUAAAAUAAAACCAGUAUCCACCCUUCCAGGAAUGUAAGAUACUGCUUCAUUCCAAAUGCCUGUGUUAGUCAGUUCUCUGUCAGUAUUAAAAAACAAAACAAAACUAAACUAAGAUAAUCAACUUAUGAAGAGAAAAAGCUUAUUUUGGCUCAUAAUUUUGGAGGGUUGAGGUCACCAGAGAUUUACCCCAUCACUUCUGGGCCGGUAAUGAGGGAGUACACCAUGGGAAGAGCACAUGGCAGAGAAAAAACAGCUAUAUCAAGGCCAGAAAGCAAAAGAGAGAAAGAAGAAGGGGAAGGGCCCUCUGAGGACACACCUCCAAUGACCUAAAGACCUCCCAUUAGGCCCGUCCUCUAAAAAGUUCCACCACCUCCCAAUAGCACCACGGGGGUGGGGGGGACUCAGCCUUUAACACCUGGGCAUUUGGGGACAGUCAACAUCCAAACCAUAACACAGUCUAAUUUUAAGGGGGAAUAGUGACAGAGUGGAGUGUUUCCAGGGGAAGUAAAGAAGAUGGCAACAGAACUCAUCAUCCCAUGAAGAACAAUUAAAAGACAAAGUUGUGGUUUGAAGAACAAAUGCUUAGUAAGGACACAGGAAUGCUCCUUAAGUAUCUGAAAAUGACUGACCCACUAUUGAUUCCCAACAUUCAGAAUUUGGAACAAUGGAUUGAAACUACCUUUGUGCAACAUGAGGAGCAGCCUGCCUUGAGAAGUACCGAAGCUCUUGUCACUCACCAGGUGACAACUGAUCAUUGGUCAGGGAUGUUGUCAAAGUAAGCUGUCCGUGGAAAGACCAUAGAAUGAAUCGGACAUGACUUUUCUGUGUUCAUAUAUGAAUACACGACCAGUGAAACUCCACAUCAUGUGCAAACACAAGAAUGGAAGUUAUACCCUAUGUAUGUGUGAUAUGUCAAAAUGCCCUCUAUUGCCAUGUAUGUAUGAAAGAGCAAAUUCGAAAAAUAAGCUCUCCUUGUUGAGGACAUUAACUAAGAUGGCCUAAAAGACUGUUUCCAAUUCCGGAAUUUGGUGCUUCCAAGUUCAAUUCCUAAUAUUUAUUUUCAUUAUAAAUUACAUGGCAUCAUUGGGAAAAAAUGACUGGUCUUUAGAAUGGUGGCUUUCUGUAAACGUCCUCCCCCAUGGCUAGUAUAUCCACUGUGACCAGAAGGGAUAAGCUUAGCUGGGUGGAGACUGACUUCCCAGUGAAACAGUGUCUCUGAAGGGUCUGAAUUCCUCAGAAGGUAGAGGAGGGAGGUGAGCAAGUCAGAGUCUGGAUGGGCAGUCAGGAGGUGUGGAUUCCUCUGCAGCUGGAGACUCACAGCCUAACUGACCACAGAGUAAGCUGACUUGGGACACAGGGUUUCUGGUAAGCAGGACUUUUAAUGCAAAAACCUGGGGAAAUGCAGGCUUGUCACUAUAAUGCUUAUCUCAAAAUAUUAAAUGAGAACUCUGUUUUUAACUAGAAAACAAGAAGCUGUACAGAUUUCCUAAUGCCUAAAAAACAAAAAAACAAAACAAACAAAAAACCUUCUGAGAUGUAUCUCAGAAGCCAAGGUGUUGAGACUUAAGCAGGUUGCAAUGGAAGAAACUUUGAACCAGCAGAUCUGGGGUUCCAUUCAUCCACUUUAUACCUGUGUGACUUAGGAAAUGUUCCCAACCUCUCUGAGCCUCAGUUUGCUCACCUGAGAAAGGAAGAUGAUGGCCGAUUGUUGGUCAGGGUCUUACUCAUAUCCUUUAUUUCAACCACCAUCAAUCUACAUGAUGAAAUUAGAAAGUUUACUCCUUUGCAGAUGCUCGCCAUGUUCCUAGAGGAUGACUAAGGGCCAUGCUGAACAAUCACCAUGGAAGGUGACAAGGUUCAGGUGACUUGCUGACUAGGGGAGGUCAGCCGACUGGAGAAGAACAACAUCUCUACAACAUAAUACCACGGGAAGUCCUGGGGUCCUGUCAGCUGACCCCGGGUCUGUUGACACCUGAGAAGUGUCAGUCCCUUCAGAUGGCUCUAGGAUUUGAAAAAUGUUCCCACAAACUCAGAGGAAACUAUAUAUUGAUUAAGAGAAAUAUCCAAGUCACUGGGGGAACACUUCUGUUCCCAGAAUCUGUAAUGACCUGUUCCUGGGCCCCUUCUGCUUCUCUCUGAUGUUGCUCCUGUGAGCAGCCUGGAACUCUGGACUCCGAUGUCACCUGAAGUCCACCUCCCUCCCUCAGGACCCAGACUCCCUAUGUUUUACUCUAAUAUCCUGCACCAGCUGUGCUUCUUUGUGCUGACUCCUGCUGUGGUCUAGACUCAGGUGUAAAGGGGCUGGACAGCCAUCUGCUCUUUCUGGAAUCAGAGCAAUGACGUGGGCUUUGGAGGCUGG